RNAcentral lists this long non-coding RNA (594 nucleotides) under Junco hyemalis (dark-eyed junco). RNAcentral's name for it is "lncRNA (ENSJHYG00000000106.1)". Lineage: Eukaryota; Metazoa; Chordata; Aves; Passeriformes; Passerellidae. The record is from RNAcentral.
GUGAAUUGGUCUGAGCACAGGAAUACACUCCCAGGUAUCUCACGUGGCCAGAACUUUGUGGGGAAAAGACAGCAAAGUUCACUACACUCAUGCCAGCAAUCUGACAGCUGGCUAAUAUAAUGUAAAAAAAAAAAACCAAAAAACCAAUAAUUUUUGACAUUCUGACUGGUUACAUGUCCCAAACCUGUCAACAAUGACCCAUAAUUUAUGUACAGACUUAUGGGAGCACAUGAAACCUUCUCUGCCUUCCUGAGUAUCAUCUCAGAAUGCCUCUGCAGAUAUCAAAAACAAGAUUGGACUGGGAUUUCCCCCAACUGCUGAAGUGGCUUUUUUGGUGAAUUUCAGGAUCUUAUUUAUUGCUUUGAAAACUGUGCAGUGAGGGCAAGGAUUGGGGAGAGCAGGCCCACUGGUACCCUGAAAUUUUCUACACUCAGCUUUUGCCCAGAAGAUUUCCAAAGGAGUUUCCAUCACAGCAAUUAUCUGAGCUCUUCAAGAGCUCUCAGGGUUAAGUAUAAUUAUAACAAUUUUAUUUUACAUAAGCGAGGAAAGUCUCACAUUUGUUUUGCAUGUAUCAUUUCAGUUAUGAUUGAGUAG